UGAAACUACAAGGCCCUGGACACAGGAUGAUCCCGGAUGGUGAGGCGGAGGUGAGGACAUUGCUGUAUGAGCGGAGAGUUGGCUGAGCUGCUAGAAUCCCUUCCUCUGAAACGAAGCAGUGAAGGGAUGGUGUGGGGAAGGUUGUCAACCAGCCAGCAUGCUCCUGGGCCUGUGGAAGGGGAGAGUGUCCACGGUUCACUUGGGGUCCCAGGGACCUUGCCAGCCCUGUACUGGGCUUUGGCAUGAAGGGGUGGAGAAGCUCUUCCAAGCUCUGACUGGUGUCUUGGUUACUAAAUCCUGAGGGUGGCAUGAUGAGAACACCAGUGGGGAGCCUUUGGCUGUGGGGUUCUGUGAGUGAGGCAGCAUGAAGCAGAAGUUGCC
Molecule: long non-coding RNA, 381 nt
Filed under: Homo sapiens (human)
Lineage: Eukaryota; Metazoa; Chordata; Mammalia; Primates; Hominidae
Description: non-protein coding lnc-PDP2-3:3
Source: RNAcentral